Molecule: ribosomal RNA, 541 nt
Filed under: Bacillus subtilis
Lineage: Bacteria; Bacillati; Bacillota; Bacilli; Caryophanales; Bacillaceae
Description: bacterial SSU rRNA
Rfam family: Bacterial small subunit ribosomal RNA
Source: RNAcentral
GUCUGAAUGUGAAAGCCCCCGGCUCAACCGGGGAGGGUCAUUGGAAACUGGGGAACUUGAGUGCAGAAGAGGAGAGUGGAAUUCCACGUGUAGCGGUGAAAUGCGUAGAGAUGUGGAGGAACACCAGUGGCGAAGGCGACUCUCUGGUCUGUAACUGACGCUGAGGAGCGAAAGCGUGGGGAGCGAACAGGAUUAGAUACCCUGGUAGUCCACGCCGUAAACGAUGAGUGCUAAGUGUUAGGGGGUUUCCGCCCCUUAGUGCUGCAGCUAACGCAUUAAGCACUCCGCCUGGGGAGUACGGUCGCAAGACUGAAACUCAAAGGAAUUGACGGGGGCCCGCACAAGCGGUGGAGCAUGUGGUUUAAUUCGAAGCAACGCGAAGAACCUUACCAGGUCUUGACAUCCUCUGACAAUCCUAGAGAUAGGACGUCCCCUUCGGGGGCAGAGUGACAGGUGGUGCAUGGUUGUCGUCAGCUCGUGUCGUGAGAUGUUGGGUUAAGUCCCGCAACGAGCGCAACCCUUGAUCUUAGUUGCCAGCAUU